Molecule: ribosomal RNA, 512 nt
Filed under: Selandria serva
Lineage: Eukaryota; Metazoa; Arthropoda; Insecta; Hymenoptera; Tenthredinidae
Description: partial 16S ribosomal RNA
Rfam family: Bacterial large subunit ribosomal RNA (bases 387-512)
Source: RNAcentral
GUCUUUUUGAAAUUUAUUUAAAGUCUAAUCUGCUCAAUGAAUUUUAUAUUUAAAUAGCUGCAGUAUUUUAACUGUACAAAGGUAGCAUAAUAAUUUGUCUUUUAAUUAAAGACUAGAAUGAAAGAUUUAACGAAGUAAAAACUGUAUCUUAUUAAAUAUUAUUUAAAUUUAAUUUUUAAGUUAAAAAGCUUAAAUAUUUUUAAAGGACGAGAAGACCCUAUAGAGUUUUAUAAAUUAUUUAAAUAUUAUUUUUAUUAAAUUUAAUAUUUUAAGUAAAUUAUUUUAUUGGGGUGAUAAAAAAAUUAAAUAAACUUUUUUAUUUAAAUAACAUUAAUUAAUGAUUUUUUGAUCCUUAAAUAAAGAUUAAUAGAUUAAAUUACCUUAGGGAUAACAGCGUUAUUUUUUUUAGAGUAUUUAUCAAUAAGAAAGAUUGCGACCUCGAUGUUGGAUUAAAAUUAAAUUUAGGUAUAAAAGCUUAAGAUUUAAGUCUGUUCGACUUUUAAAAUUUUACA